This 397-nucleotide ribosomal RNA is filed under the name uncultured bacterium. RNAcentral describes it as "partial 16S ribosomal RNA". It matches the Rfam family "Bacterial small subunit ribosomal RNA", at positions 523 to 918 of the family's 1533-position model. The record is from RNAcentral.
AUACGUAGGGGGCGAGCGUUGUCCGGAAUGAUUGGGCGUAAAGGGCGCGUAGGCGGCCCGGUAAGUCUGGAGUGAAAGUCCUGUUUUUAAGAUGGGAAUUGCUUUGGAUACUGUCGGGCUUGAGUGCAGGAGAGGUAGGUGGAAUUCCCAGUGUAGCGGUGAAAUGCGUAGAGAUUGGGAGGAACACCAGUGGCGAAGGCGACUUACUGGACUGUAACUGACGCUGAGGCGCGAAAGUGUGGGGAGCAAACAGGAUUAGAUACCCUGGUAGUCCACACUGUAAACGAUGAAUGCUAGGUGUAGGGGGUAUCGACCCCUUCUGUGCCGCAGUCAACACAAUAAGCAUUCCGCCUGGGGAGUACGGCCGCAAGGUUGAAACUCAAAUGAAUUGGCGGGG